GGUUGAUCCUGCCAGGAUUAUAUACUUGUUUAAAAGAUUAAGCCAUGCAUGUCUAAGUAUAAACAUCUUUAUACAGUGAAACUGCGUACAGCUCAUUAUAUCAGUAAUUAUUUAUUUGAAGGUCAUAUUCUACAAGGAUAACUGUAGAAAUUCUAGAGCUAAUACUUGCGACAAAUUCCGACUCUCGGGAAGGAAUGUAUUUAUUAGAUAAAAAAUCAAUGCAGGUUUUACCUGGUCCAUUGGUGAUUCAUAGUAACUGUUCGAAGCGUAUGGCCUUGUGCCGACGCUAAGU
Molecule: ribosomal RNA, 292 nt
Filed under: uncultured eukaryote
Lineage: Eukaryota
Description: partial 18S ribosomal RNA
Rfam family: Eukaryotic small subunit ribosomal RNA
Source: RNAcentral